UUAUAUAUAUUUUUUCUAUGGAGAUUGAAGAGACGAUUUCAGAGAGUUUUUUUGCUCUUUCUCUGUUCUCUCUUCUAAAUCAUUGACAGAGAAAUAAUGCUUUUUCUCUCUUUCUUUUGAUCAAUGGAUCGAUGGUUUUUUCCAUAUAUAUCGGAUGUUUUGUUCUGACGUAAAUCGGAUAAUAAAGUUCUGGAUUCGUCCGGAUGUCAACCCUUUCUCUUUUACAUCUGGUCCUCCAUAGGUUUGAGGCGGUAGCGAGCAGAUCCUGUGGUGAGUGUCAAGUUUUUUCUUCGAAUUUUGGAUCAUCCUCUCUCUCGACUAGGAGUUUGAUCUCUCCUUAAGUCCCCUCUAUUAAGAGCCAUGCGUCGCGUUGUGUGAUAUGUCCAAAGUCAAAGACGAUCAGUGCUAAUUUUAAUCGGAGUUUCAAGCUUUUGACAAUUUCUAAUCUAGAUCUAAUCAGAGGAAGAAUUAGCGGUGAAGAAGCAGCAAUUAAAGGUGAUGUGAAUCCAUUGGAGUUAACUUAUAUGGUUAUACUCUCUUGAUUAUCGGUUUCCAGCAAAGCUCUGACCGGCGAUGGAUCAGCGGCAUCUUCUCACCAGGAGCCGACGUCUUUCCCAAGCCUGCCGCGUGUCUUACAUGUGUUUAUUAUUUAUCAAUCUUUAUCUGUUAGUAAUAUGCUUAAAUGAGGUUGAUUUAGAAUUUAAUGUAUACGGUUUUGGGCCUUUAUUUGCUGUAAUUUUCCCGCUUUUAGGUUUUCAUAAUGAUAUUAAAUGGACGACCAAAAAAAAUAUAUAUUUUUUCUAUAUAAUUAAUAUUCAUAUAUGACUAUUUUCAAUGUUAAAGUCAAAUUUCUAUUAUUUUUAUGUGCUGUGAAAAUAUACAUAUAUAUAUUUAUUGUCGAAUAGAAAUGGUUGCUCGAAUAAAAAAAUUGUGGUAGUUUUAAUAUUUAGUAAUAAAAAAAUUAGAAUAAUAUUAAUUUUGCAAUAUCUAUCUAUAUAGUUGUAGUAAACAUUUUUUAGAAAAAAAACAGAUCAAGAAUCGAUCCUGUUAGGUUCAAUUAGAAAAAUCAUGGUUCAAUUAUUGGUUAAUCAAGUCCAAAUAUCGGUUUAGUUUAAUCUGACUUUUGUUUAGGCUGAGUAUGUACAAGUUUGAUUCAGUUAAAUCGAAAUCAGUAGUAAAGAUGAAGUUUUGGACAAAUUCAAAGAGUACAAACUCGAAGUUGAAAAACAACUGGAAAAGACUAUCAAAUUGGUCAGAAGUGAAGAGGUGGAGAAUAUGAUGAACCGUUCAAUGUAUUUUUUUUAGUUAAACAACAUUGUCCAUCAAACUACAGUUCCCUAUUCACAUGAAUCUAACGGAGUUGCAGAAAGAAAGAACCAAACUCUAAAGAAAAUGAUGAACGUGAUGUUGCAGAAAUCUAGGCUACCGCAGAAUCUAUGGGGGGGGGGGGGAAGCAUUUCUCACCAUUAUAUCCUCAACAAAAUACCUCAUAAGGUAACCGGCAAGACGUCCUUUGAGCUUUGGAAAGGUUAUGUACCUUCGUACAAAUACCUUAAAGUGUGGGGGUGCUUAGUAAAAGUUGCAGUGCCAUCUCCAAAUAAGGUCACAAUUGAAACUAAAACUAUGGACUAUAUCUUUAUUGGAUAUGAUCACAAUAGUAGUGUUUAUCGUUUUCUGUUACAUAAGUCAGUAUCAGACAUCCACGUGAAUACUAUCAUGGAAUCAAAGAAUGCAUCAUUCUUUGAACACAUAUUUCCAUAUAAAGAUAAGCAAACUACUAAACGCACUCGUAAAGAAAGAGAUGUGAGUACUUCUGUUAAUGAAAUGGAAGUAGAACAAGUGGAAGAUGAACCUAGACGCAGUAAAAGAGCUCGUAAGGAAAACUUUAAUGGUGAAGAUUUCACAAUGGUCUUUCUUGUUGAGAACAAACCAAGAUCUUACAUAGAAGGUAUGUCUACACCAGAAGCUCCUUAUUGAAAAGAUGCCGGCAAUAGUGAGAUGGAUUCUAUAAUGCAGAAUCAUACCUACGAGUUAACUGGCUUACCUUAAGGGUUUAGAGCACUAGGGUAUAAAUGGAUCUUCAAGACUAAGCUAAAAGCUGAUGGUUCAAUAGAUAAGUACAAGGCACGCCUUGUGUUCCAAGGAUUCAGACAAAAAGAAGGUCUAGAUUUCUUCGACACCUAUUCUCCAGUUACGAGAAUAACUUUGAUCAUAAUAAUAAUUGGUGUAGCAGCCUUGCAAGGUUUGGAAAUACUUUAUGGAUGUUAAAACUGCCUUUCUAAAUGGAGAUUUAAAAGAAUAGAUAUACAUGAAAUAACCCAAAGGUUUCGAGGUUAAGGGUCAAGAACACAAAGUGUGUAGACUCUUGAAAUCAUUGUAUGGACUAAAACAAGCUCCAAAACAAUGGCAUGAAACUGCAUGUCAUUUGUUAAUAGCUCCUACCGUAGUAAUUAUUAAAACGGCAGGCUGUUAAGAAAGUUCUGAAACUAAAGAUGGAUAGAUGACUUAAAAGAUAUUCAAAAGCAAAUAUUUAUAUAUAUAUUUUUUCUAUGGAGAUUGAAGAGGCGAUUUCAGAGAGUUUUUUGCUCUUUCUCUGUUCUCUCUUCUAAAUCAUUCACAGAGAAAUGAUGCUUUUUCUCUCUUUCUUUUGAUCAAUGGAUCGAUGGUUUUUUCCAUAUAUAUCGGAUGUUUUGUUCCGACAUAAAUCGGAUAAUAAAAGUUCUGGGUUCGUCCGGAUGUCAACCCUUUCUCUUUUACAUCUGGUCCUCCAUAGGUUUAAGGCGGUAGCGAUCAGAUCCGGUGGUGAGUGUCAAGUUUUUUCUUCGAAUUUUGGAUCAUCCUCUCUCUCGACUAGGAGUUUGAUCUCUCCUUAAGUCCCCUCUAUUAAGAGCCAUGCGUGGCAUUGUGUGACAUGUCCAGAGUCAAAGACGAUCAGUGCUAAUUUUAAUCAGAGUUUCAAGCUUUUGACAAUUUCUAAUCUAGAUCUAAUCGGAGGAGGAAUUAAGCGGUGAAGAAACAGCAAUUAAAGGUGAUGUGAAUCCAUUGGAGUUAACUUAUAUGGUUAUACUCUCUUUAUUAUCAGUUUCCAGCAAAGCUCUGACCGGCGAUGGAUCAGCGGCAUCUUCUCACCAGGAGCCGACGUCUUUCCCAAACCUGCCACGUGUCUUACAUGUGUUUACUAUUUAUCAAUCUUUAUCUGUUAGUAAUAUGCUUAAAUGAGGUUGAUUUAGAAUUUAAUGUAUACGGUUUUGGGCCUUUAUUUGCUGUAAUUUGCCCGCUUUUAGGCUUUCAUAAUGAUAUUAAAUAGACGAC
RNAcentral lists this long non-coding RNA (3312 nucleotides) under Eutrema salsugineum. Its description in RNAcentral is "long non-coding RNA (ESAL_LNC000755)". Lineage: Eukaryota; Viridiplantae; Streptophyta; Magnoliopsida; Brassicales; Brassicaceae. The record is from RNAcentral.